UACAGAGGUCUCGAGCGUUAAUCGGAAUUACUGGGCUUAAAGGGUGCGUAGGCGGCGCUGUAAGUGCUUUGUGAAAUCCCAUGGCUUAACCAUGGAAUUGCUCGGCAGACUGCAGCGCUUGAGGUCGGUAGGGGUCGCUGGAACUCUAGGUGGAGCGGUGAAAUGCGUAGAUAUCGUAAGGAAGACCAGUGGCGAAGGCGGGUCUCUGGACAGUUCCUGACGCUGAGGCACGAAGGCCAGGGGAGCAAACGGG
This 253-nucleotide ribosomal RNA is filed under the name uncultured bacterium. RNAcentral's name for it is "partial 16S ribosomal RNA". It matches the Rfam family "Bacterial small subunit ribosomal RNA", at positions 524 to 776 of the family's 1533-position model. The record is from RNAcentral.